RNAcentral lists this transfer RNA (74 nucleotides) under Actinoplanes sp. OR16. RNAcentral's name for it is "tRNA-Leu". The record is from RNAcentral. Lineage: Bacteria; Bacillati; Actinomycetota; Actinomycetes; Micromonosporales; Micromonosporaceae.
CGGCGUGUAGCUCAGUCAGCAGAGUGCCCGGCUCAGGACCGGGAGGGCGCAGGAGCAAAGCCUGCCACGUCGGC